GACGAACGCUGGCGGCGUGCCUAAUACAUGCAAGUAGAACGCUGAAGCUUGGUGCUUGCACCGAGCGGAUGAGUUGCGAACGGGUGAGUAACGCGUAGGUAACCUGCCUGGUAGCGGGGGAUAACUAUUGGAAACGAUAGCUAAUACCGCAUAAGAGUAGAUGUUGCAUGACAUUUGCUUAAAAGGUGCAAUUGCAUCACUACCAGAUGGACCUGCGUUGUAUUAGCUAGUUGGUGAGGUAACGGCUCACCAAGGCAACGAUACAUAGCCGACCUGAGAGGGUGAUCGGCCACACUGGGACUGAGACACGGCCCAGACUCCUACGGGAGGCAGCAGUAGGGAAUCUUCGGCAAUGGACGGAAGUCUGACCGAGCAACGCCGCGUGAAUGAAGAAGGUUUUCGGAUCGUAAAGCUCUGUUGUAAGAGAAGAACGAGUGUGAGAGUGGAAAGUUCACACUGUGACGGUAUCUGACCAGAAAGGGACGGCUAACUACGUG
Molecule: ribosomal RNA, 497 nt
Filed under: uncultured bacterium
Lineage: Bacteria
Description: partial 16S ribosomal RNA
Rfam family: Bacterial small subunit ribosomal RNA
Source: RNAcentral